Non-coding RNA from Peromyscus maniculatus bairdii (prairie deer mouse), 689 nucleotides. NCBI's taxonomy places the organism in Eukaryota, Metazoa, Chordata, Mammalia, Rodentia, Cricetidae. The record is from RefSeq and is a predicted model, not a curated record.
CCCCAGUGCUAAAACAGGCGUGUCGUAGUUGCCUUUCCUGUUGCUAUGAUAAAAUGCCUGGACAAAAGCAGCUGGAGGAGGGAAGGUUUUAUUUUAACACACAGGUCAAGGGUGCAGCGUACCGAGGUGUAGAGCCAUGACUGCAAGGGAGAGCCGGAGCUGAUCACUUUUCCGCGCUCAGAACAGUGCAGUCCUUGCCAUUUGUGAUAAGAAGAUUCGAGAACAGAAGACAGCACCAUCCAGGGGCAAGGUCAGGAGGAAGCCAAUGCCCCACUGCAUGAGUGUCUCCAUAGCAACAAAGGAACAGUGAGAGCUUUCAGGGCUACACGAAAACUUCAACCAGCCCCUUCCAGCUCCACCAGGAACUUGAGUCCCUCAGCUUCAAUUCCGCUGGGUUCAUCUCCAGGAGUAAAAGGCUUGUUGACAGAAGAGCGUUUGUUAUUUCUCCUCUUGCUGAAAAAGAACGUGUGGCACUUCAAAGUUUAAGCAUAUUAUCAAGGGCGCCAGGAAACCAGUCAGCACCGCGUGGAAAUUCCUGGCUAGAGAAACUUGCUGUCUUUCCUCCAGUCCUGUGAACACUGCAACGUCUUUAGAUGAGUAACAACUUCUGCUAAGAACCUGAGCUACCGCUCAUCAGGCUACGGUUCCAUAAUUAGUGGCGGAAGCCAGGCUAGAAGCUGCUCUCUGGC